This 230-nucleotide ribosomal RNA is filed under the name uncultured bacterium. Its description in RNAcentral is "partial 16S ribosomal RNA". It matches the Rfam family "Bacterial small subunit ribosomal RNA", at positions 561 to 790 of the family's 1533-position model. The record is from RNAcentral.
UAAAGCGUGCGCAGGCGGUUAUGUAAGACAGAUGUGAAAUCCCCGGGCUCAACCUGGGAACUGCAUUUGUGACUGCAUGGCUAGAGUACGGUAGAGGGGGAUGGAAUUCCGCGUGUAGCAGUGAAAUGCGUAGAUAUGCGGAGGAACACCGAUGGCGAAGGCAAUCCCCUGGACCUGUACUGACGCUCAUGCACGAAAGCGUGGGGAGCAAACAGGAUUAGAUACCCUUG